UGUGCUGUAUUUUUUUGUAAACUUCUGUUUAGACUGUAGUUAAGCUUACUCCGAGGCUUGGUAUUAUUCACUAGCUUAUUCUCACUAACAUCAUUGCUAUAAAGAUUAUUAAAAUUUUUACUACAUAACAUAAACAAGAACUACUUUUGGGAUCAGUUCCAGUAUUAUUAUUAUUUAUGUUGAUUUAUUUUGCAUUAGAUUCAGUUAAUUAUCAUCAUUAUUAUCAUCAUUACUACCGUUUUAAUUUUGAUUGUAUUUUUACUUUUUCUUAUUAGUUUUUUUGUUUCUUUUUCUUUCUUUUCUCAUCUUUUUUCUUUUUCUUUCUGGCUGGCCAUGUUUCCUUGGUCAGGCCUUUGGUGUUUCUUUUUAUCUAGCCUCUUAACUCUAUUCUCAUUGCCGGUCACUGUCAAGUUUAAAUAAAUUAAUUAAUACAUAAAUUGCUGAUGCAUGAAUAUAACAAUUGAUUAUUAUAGUCUACUAGAUAUAAUAUUAUUAUUAGUUUUGAACAAGUGUAAAAUUAAUUCAAGUUGAUAUUACAGACUUUAUCAA
Long non-coding RNA from Amphimedon queenslandica, 549 nucleotides. RefSeq lists it as uncharacterized. The record is from RefSeq and is a predicted model, not a curated record. NCBI's taxonomy places the organism in Eukaryota, Metazoa, Porifera, Demospongiae, Haplosclerida, Niphatidae. The transcript is spliced from 2 exons.